Rattus norvegicus (Norway rat) is the source of this 752-nucleotide non-coding RNA. NCBI's taxonomy places the organism in Eukaryota, Metazoa, Chordata, Mammalia, Rodentia, Muridae. The record is from RefSeq and is a predicted model, not a curated record.
GCCUGUUUGGAGCUGUCCUGGAGUCCUUGUCCUUUGGGAAGGGACCUGGCUGGAGGAUGGCCAGGAAUCUCCUAAAGAGGGGUGCCCAACCCAGGAGAUGUCUUUGCCCAGGUCUCAGGGAACCCUUCCAUUUUGUUGAAUGAAACAGAUCCACACCAAGGGGUCUAUUUCAUCAUUGUGAAUUUUUAGAACACUGGGACAAAGAGAAGAUUCUAAAAACUUCCAGGAAAGGGAACGAGAGAGGGAGAGAGGGAGAUAGACAAGGAAUGGCUUCAUGUAAGGAACCAGCAUCAGGAUGACAACAGACAGUGCCCUUCCAGUGCGGAGCUGGAGGCUGAAGGCAGAAAGCCAUGCUUUCAAGUCCAGAGGGAGAUGCCCGAUAACCCAGAAUUCUCUAUGCAAAGGCCACACUUGGAGCCCAAAGGCUCUCAUGGCUAGGGUUAAGUUACAACCUGAAGGACGGGGAAGAAGCUAGAAGCAAACUCUGAGCGGAUCUGGAGGGGGAUUUCCAGAAAAGAUUACGAAUCCAGUUUCUCCAGGUCCAACAGGGACUGAAGACCAGUGCAGUGGCUCUCCAGGAAUCUCUCAAGCCUUGGACAUCGGUUGAAGCAUCCAGCUUCAUGGACUGGGGAGUCACCCCAUCUCAGCCUCGCCAGUGUAGAGACAACCACUGUUGGACAAACCCUACUGGUUGUAAGCCCUUCUAGUGAACCUCCUCCCCCUUUUAAAAUAAUAUGGUCUAUCGGUUCCGA